This is a long non-coding RNA of Pseudophryne corroboree (corroboree frog), 298 nucleotides long. RefSeq lists it as uncharacterized. The transcript is spliced from 3 exons. Lineage: Eukaryota; Metazoa; Chordata; Amphibia; Anura; Myobatrachidae. The record is from RefSeq and is a predicted model, not a curated record.
GGAUGCACACCCAGUGUAAUGUAUACACAGGAGACAAGGUUCUGAGUGCACUAUAUGUGACACCCUAAAGUAGGUAUCACUGAAGUCAACAAUUUACAAGUUAUGAAUAUCAUCACAGCUCCCCACCACACGUGGGGUGAGCUGUUCUCAUGUAACAAAUACAACCAAAAACAGAGAUAUAACCUUAGAACAAAGAUCAUGCGGUUCCCAGCUUGCGACAGGAAAGAAAGGAGCCCACAGUUGCAGCGACACACCAUGCCUGAACUUUGCCAAUGUGACAACACCCAUCAGUCAUACA